RNAcentral lists this ribosomal RNA (395 nucleotides) under uncultured bacterium. RNAcentral describes it as "partial 16S ribosomal RNA". It matches the Rfam family "Bacterial small subunit ribosomal RNA", at positions 523 to 918 of the family's 1533-position model. The record is from RNAcentral.
AUACGUAGGGUGCAAGCGUUAAUCGGAAUUACUGGGCGUAAAGCGUGCGCAGGCGGUUUUGUAAGACAGAGGUGAAAUCCCCGGGCUCAACCUGGGAACUGCCUUUGUGACUGCAAGGCUAGAGUACGGCAGAGGGGGAUGGAAUUCCGCGUGUAGCAGUGAAAGGCGUAGAUAUGCGGAGGAACACCGAUGGCGAAGGCAAUCCCCUGGGCCUGUACUGACGCUCAUGCACGAAGGCGUGGGGAGCAAACAGGAUUAGAUAUCCUGGUAGUCCACGCCCUAAACGAUGCCAACUGGUUGUUGGGUCUUCAUUGACUCAGUAACGAAGCUAACGCGUGAAGUUGACCGCCUGGGGAGUACGGCCGCAAGGUUGAAACUCAAAUGAAUUGACGGGG